Molecule: long non-coding RNA, 319 nt
Filed under: Amphimedon queenslandica
Lineage: Eukaryota; Metazoa; Porifera; Demospongiae; Haplosclerida; Niphatidae
Description: uncharacterized LOC109583350, transcript variant X2
Source: RNAcentral
AAAAGGAUCACAUUAUUAUUACUGAUUGGAUUGAAAUAUUAUCCAAACUAAACCUUACCCAUUAUAAUGAACCUUCCUGAAGGGUUUUUCCUUAAAGCGUUAGCUCAUGCUCAUGCAGGGUAACAUCACUGCUACUGAGUUGGUGCAACUGAUAAAGUGCCUGUGCAGGUUAUGGUAUACUGUUACUGUUCUUAUGGGGUACCCAAUGUAUGCUCCUUUUCAUCAAAGAGGAAGAAUUACUCUAACAACUAGAUCAGUAGCGUUGCUGAGGAAAUGACUGUUGCUAUGACAACUGUACAUAUACAUGUACAUCAAUGAA